This is a non-coding RNA of Podarcis lilfordi (Lilford's wall lizard), 193 nucleotides long. NCBI's taxonomy places the organism in Eukaryota, Metazoa, Chordata, Lepidosauria, Squamata, Lacertidae. The record is from the annotation of a GenBank genome assembly.
AAAGUUCUUCCUGAUGUUUCGUUGGACUCUCCUUUCUUGUGACUUGAUGCCAUCGGUUCAGGUCCUACCCUCUGGAAUGUAUGCUCCAUCUUCCAUGUAAGAGCCCUUAAGAUAUUUGAAGAUGGCUAUCACCUAUCAGUCAUCUUCUCUCAGUCUCCUCUUCUCCAGGCUAAACAUACCCAGCUCCUUCAAC